UGAUAGCGUAGAAACGUGAGGUUGCUGCAUUAGAUUGCAGGUUUUCCGUGGAGCGAAUGUCAAGUUAAGAAACUGGCGACAA
RNAcentral lists this non-coding RNA (82 nucleotides) under unclassified sequences. Its description in RNAcentral is "S10-Clostridia ribosomal protein leader". It matches the Rfam family "S10-Clostridia ribosomal protein leader". The record is from RNAcentral. RNAcentral also lists the same sequence under 1 other name.